UAAGUUUCAGUGAAUGUUAAUUGUUUAAUAGUCCAUCAAUUCUUAUAUAUCUAGAAUUGUCCUAUCAAGCAAUCAACAAUUAAUAUUCAAGUGUUACAUAUCUAAUCUUGUAACACAUUAAGUUGAGAUUCAUAAAUGGCUUAAGGAACUAAAAUUUAUAGCAUCUUAUAUUUUAGUUUUUCAAUUAAAGCAUUAAGUUGCCAAAGUAACCUCUAUUGUGUAGAUUGAUUAAUUUUAAAAUAUGAGAUGA
RNAcentral lists this long non-coding RNA (250 nucleotides) under Nicotiana benthamiana. Its description in RNAcentral is "long non-coding RNA (NBEN_LNC034164)". The record is from RNAcentral. Lineage: Eukaryota; Viridiplantae; Streptophyta; Magnoliopsida; Solanales; Solanaceae.